GGUCCUAUGGGGUAGUGGUUAUCCCACCGGAUUUUGAUUCCGGUAACGCCGGUUCGAAUCCGGCUAGGACCU
This 72-nucleotide transfer RNA is filed under the name Aspergillus flavus NRRL3357. Its description in RNAcentral is "tRNA-Gln (TTG) (tRNA-Gln-TTG-2-1, tRNA-Gln-TTG-2-2)". It matches the Rfam family "tRNA". From Rfam's summary of the family: Transfer RNA (tRNA) molecules are approximately 80 nucleotides in length. Their secondary structure includes four short double-helical elements and three loops (D, anti-codon, and T loops). Lineage: Eukaryota; Fungi; Ascomycota; Eurotiomycetes; Eurotiales; Aspergillaceae. The record is from RNAcentral. RNAcentral also lists the same sequence under 2 other names.